GCCGGGAUGGCUGAGUGGUUAAAGCGACGGCCUCGAGAGCCGUUGGGCGUCACGCCCUCGUGGGUUCGAAUCCCACUCCCGGCGCCA
This 87-nucleotide transfer RNA is filed under the name archaeon 13_1_40CM_2_52_13. RNAcentral describes it as "tRNA-Ser". It matches the Rfam family "tRNA". Rfam says of the family: Transfer RNA (tRNA) molecules are approximately 80 nucleotides in length. Their secondary structure includes four short double-helical elements and three loops (D, anti-codon, and T loops). Further hydrogen bonds mediate the characteristic L-shaped molecular structure. tRNAs have two regions of fundamental functional importance: the anti-codon, which is responsible for specific mRNA codon recognition, and the 3' end, to which the tRNAs corresponding amino acid is attached (by aminoacyl-tRNA synthetases). tRNAs cope with the degeneracy of the genetic code in two manners: having more than one tRNA (with a specific anti-codon) for a particular amino acid; and 'wobble' base-pairing, i.e. permitting non-standard base-pairing at the 3rd anti-codon position. The record is from RNAcentral. RNAcentral also lists the same sequence under 4 other names.